GCCCGGAUAGCUCAGUUGGUAGAGCGGUAGGUUUUCAACCAAUGGGUCCCGGGUUCAUGUCCCUGUCCGGGCG
Molecule: non-coding RNA, 73 nt
Organism: Schistocerca piceifrons (Central American locust)
Lineage: Eukaryota; Metazoa; Arthropoda; Insecta; Orthoptera; Acrididae
Source: the annotation of a RefSeq genome assembly